CAAUAGCGUAUAUUAAAGUUGUUGCAGUUAAAAAGCUCGUAGUUGGAUUUGUGGCUGUCACGGGCGGCCUAUCACUUAGUGUUAGUGCUUGCCUGUGUCGCCAUCCUUGGGUGGAGCCCGUGUGGCAUUAGGUUGUCGUGCGGGGGGUGCCCAUCGUUUACUGUGAGAAAAUUAGAGUGUUCAAAGCAGGCUUAUGCCGUUGAAUAUGUUAGCAUGGAAUAAUAAGAUAGGACCUCGGUACUAUUUUGUUGGUUUGCGCACCGAGGUAAUGAUUAAUAGGGACAGUUGGGGGUAUUCGUAUUUCAUUGUCAGAGGUGAAAUUCUUGGAUUUCUGAAAGACGAACUACUGCGAAAGCAUUUACCAAGGAUGUUUUCAUUAA
RNAcentral lists this ribosomal RNA (380 nucleotides) under uncultured eukaryote. RNAcentral's name for it is "partial 18S ribosomal RNA". It matches the Rfam family "Eukaryotic small subunit ribosomal RNA", at positions 592 to 976 of the family's 1831-position model. The record is from RNAcentral.